AUACGUAGGUGGCAAGCGUUGUCCGGAUUUAUUGGGUUUAAAGGGAGCGUAGGCGGGAGCUUAAGUCAGCGGUUAAAUGGUGCGGCUCAACCGUGCCCUGCCGUUGAAACUGGGUUUCUUGAGAGUGCAAGAGGCGGAUGGAAUUAAUGGUGUAGCGGUGAAAUGCUUAGAUAUCAUGGAGAACUCCGAUUGCGAAGGCAGUCCGCUGGGGCACGUCUGACGCUGAUGCUCGAAGGUGCGGGAAUCAAACAGGAUUAGAUACCCUGGUAGUCCGCACGGUAAACGAUGAUUACCCGCUGUCGGCGGUAGACAGUCGGCGGCCAAGCGAAAGCGAUAAGUAAUCCACCUGGGGAGUGCGCCGGCAACGGUGAAACUUAAAGGAAUUGGCGGGG
Molecule: ribosomal RNA, 392 nt
Filed under: uncultured bacterium
Lineage: Bacteria
Description: partial 16S ribosomal RNA
Rfam family: Bacterial small subunit ribosomal RNA
Source: RNAcentral